UCAUGGCUCAGGAUGAACGCUGGCGGCGUGCUUAACACAUGCAAGUCGAACGGUGAAAGAGAGCUUGCUCUCUGGAUCAGUGGCGAACGGGUGAGUAACACGUGAGCAAUCUGCCCCUGACUCUGGGAUAAGCGCUGGAAACGGCGUCUAAUACCGGAUACGAGCUGCGAAGGCAUCUUCAGCAGCUGGAAAGAACUUCGGUCAGGGAUGAGCUCGCGGCCUAUCAGCUAGUUGGUGAGGUAAUGGCUCACCAAGGCGUCGACGGGUAGCCGGCCUGAGAGGGUGACCGGCCACACUGGGACUGAGACACGGCCCAGACUCCUACGGGAGGCAGCAGUGGGGAAUAUUGCACAAUGGGCGCAAGCCUGAUGCAGCAACGCCGCGUGAGGGACGACGGCCUUCGGGUUGUAAACCUCUUUUAGCAAGGAAGAAGCGAAAGUGACGGUACUUGCAGAAAAAGCGCCGGCUAACUACGUGCCAGCAGCCGCGGUAAUACGUAGGGCGCAAGCGUUAUCCGGAAUUAUUGGGCGUAAAGAGCUCGUAGGCGGUUUGUCGCGUCUGCUGUGAAAACCCGAGGCUCAACCUCGGGCCUGCAGUGGGUACGGGCAGACUAGAGUGCGGUAGGGGAGAUUGGAAUUCCUGGUGUAGCGGUGGAAUGCGCAGAUAUCAGGAGGAACACCGAUGGCGAAGGCAGAUCUCUGGGCCGUAACUGACGCUGAGGAGCGAAAGGGUGGGGAGCAAACAGGCUUAGAUACCCUGGUA
Molecule: ribosomal RNA, 762 nt
Filed under: Microbacterium sp.
Lineage: Bacteria; Bacillati; Actinomycetota; Actinomycetes; Micrococcales; Microbacteriaceae
Description: bacterial SSU rRNA
Rfam family: Bacterial small subunit ribosomal RNA
Source: RNAcentral